UCUCACAUUGCUGACAAUGGUA
RNAcentral lists this microRNA (22 nucleotides) under Saccoglossus kowalevskii. Its description in RNAcentral is "sko-miR-4822-3p". Lineage: Eukaryota; Metazoa; Hemichordata; Enteropneusta; Harrimaniidae. The record is from miRBase by way of RNAcentral.